UACGAAGGGGGCUAGCGUUGUUCGGAAUUACUGGGCGUAAAGCGUGCGCAGGCGGUUCUCCAAGUCAGUGGUGAAAGCCCGGAGCUCAACUCCGGAACUGCCAUUGAAACUGUAGAGCUAGAGUACGAGAGAGGUGAGUGGAAUUCCCAGUGUAGAGGUGAAAUUCGUAGAUAUUGGGAAGAACACCGGUGGCGAAGGCGGCUCACUGGCUCGUAACUGACGCUCAUGCACGACAGCGUGGGGAUCAAACAGG
This 253-nucleotide ribosomal RNA is filed under the name uncultured bacterium. RNAcentral describes it as "partial 16S ribosomal RNA". It matches the Rfam family "Bacterial small subunit ribosomal RNA", at positions 524 to 776 of the family's 1533-position model. The record is from RNAcentral.